Molecule: ribosomal RNA, 465 nt
Filed under: uncultured bacterium
Lineage: Bacteria
Description: partial 16S ribosomal RNA
Rfam family: Bacterial small subunit ribosomal RNA
Source: RNAcentral
GAUGAACGCUGGCGGCGUGCCUAACACAUGCAAGUCGAGCGGAGAAUUGUUGCUUGCAACAAUUCUUAGCGGCGGACGGGUGAGUAACACGUGGGUAACCUGCCCUAAACAAAGGGAUAACAAUGAGAAAUCAUUGCUAAUACCGUAUAAGCUUACACUAUCGCAUGAUAGAGUAAGAAAAGAUUUAUCGGUUUAGGAGGGGCCCGCGUCUGAUUAGCUAGUUGGAGAGGUAACGGCUCACCAAGGCGACGAUCAGUAGCCGACCUGAGAGGGUGAUCGGCCACAUUGAGACUGAGACACGGCACAAACUCCUACGGGAGGCAGCAGUGGAGAAUAUUGCACAAUGGAGGAAACUCUGAUGCAGCAACGCCGCGUGAAGGAAGAAGGUUUUCGGAUCGUAAACUUCUAUCUACAGGGAAGAAAAAAAUGACGGUACCUGAGGAAGAAGCCCCGGCUAACUACGUG